RNA transcript from Penaeus monodon (black tiger shrimp), 2322 nucleotides. It is a transcript of the gene named protein phosphatase 1B-like, with no coding region annotated. NCBI's taxonomy places the organism in Eukaryota, Metazoa, Arthropoda, Malacostraca, Decapoda, Penaeidae. The record is from RefSeq and is a predicted model, not a curated record.
GUGGCCAGUGGAGAAGACAAGAGUGGAACGACUGCAGUCUGUGCUCUCAUAUCACCAACACACAUCUUCGUGGCUAAUUGUGGAGACUCGCGAGCAGUUUUAUACCGAGGAGGCAAAAUUGGCUUCAGCACACAAGACCAUAAACCUGUGAACCCAGUGGAGAAGGAGAGGAUCCAGAAUGCAGGUGGAUCAGUGAUGAUUCAGAGAGUAAAUGGAUCCCUCGCUGUCUCACGAGCACUUGGAGAUUAUGAGUACAAAAAUGUGGAGGGCAAAGGACCAUGUGAGCAGCUGGUGUCCCCAGAACCUGAAAUAUACGUAGAGCGCCGCCAGAGUGAUGAUGAGUUUUUGGUAUUGGCCUGUGAUGGAGUGUGGGAUGUCAUGACCAAUGAAGACCUCUGUGCUUUCGUGCGGUCCCGCCUCCUUCUAUCCGAUGACCUGGAAUCCAUAGCUAACCAUGUUGUAGACACUUGUCUUUACAAGGGAAGUCGUGACAACAUGAGUAUAGUGCUGUUAACACUCCCAGGGGCCCCUAAGGUAUCUGAAGAGGCUAUUAAAAAGGAAAAAGAAAUGGAAGAUAUAAUAGAGAAAAAGGUUGCGGAGGUGUGUGCACAGGAGGGACCAGUGAGCAUGCCACAGAUAAUGUCAGUGCUAGCUGAAGAAUAUAUCCCAGGCCUUCCCCCAGGUGGAGGUCAUCCUGCAAAGCGAGGCUUUGUGGAACAGAUAUUCAGAAAGUUGCGACCUGACUGUGCAAAUGCAGAGAGCAUGGAUGAGAUGGGGGAGGAUGGACUGAGUGGUAAUUUGAUGUUCUUCCCGAGUCCAACAAUGCGUGACAAGAUAACCUCCAUUUUCGAAAACUCGUCCCUUGAUGAUGACGCUUGAUGAUGAUGAUGAUGAUCAUGAUGAAGGGUUCUGGGUUGGGUUUAGGGGCAGAAGAACUGAAGGUCUGUACAAACUUUUUCUCUUUGUUAAGAGAAUGGUGCAAAAUCAGAAAUACAUCCAUACUCACACAUACACCCAAAACCAGAGACCUGUCCAUUCACACGCAUAUGUACAUGCACAUAUUUUGUUAAUUGUAUCAUUUCAGCUACAAGGCUGUUUUCAUUAACCUGUUGGAUCCUGGUUCAUUGCUGACUGUGCAAAUUCCAAAGUCCGGGCUUAGGGUUUACUUUACUAGGGACUCCCAUGUGUGUACAUAAACAAUUGUGUGCAGUAUCAAGACAGUGUUAUCCCUUUUUCUGGAUAAUAUUUUUUUUGUUUUUUGCCAUUUUACAACAUUACAUUUGUCAUUUCACAUGCCCUAUCAAGACAGAAAUACUGUUUUCCAUGCACAGACUCCAUAUCAUCGCUCUAGAUAGUCUACAACUUUGUGCAGUAGUAAUUACAACAAGUAACAUUUUGUUAUUUGUGUAUUAUUCAAUUUUCUAUCAAUCACUGUAUGCUGCUGAUUAUGGUGGGCAAGAAUGAGCUGGCACUCUUUCAGGCAUGACAUAUGGACAUUAUAUUACAUCUUCAUUUACUGGUGGAAAUAAUAGAAGAGUCUCCUUUUAAAUGGCCACUGAGUCUAAUCUUCCUCCAAGAGCUUUGUGCCCUUGUAAUGAGUUAUAUCCGUCCCCAUGUCCUCAGCUAAAUUUUUCCAUGAUGGCAUAUUCCAUUUACCCAGCCCUCAACCAAAUUUUUGACAAUGUAACAUGUCACUUGGAUCUAGUGGGUUAAUAAAUUGCAAAUCAUGAUAAUUAUCAUUAGAUAUGUACGAAGAUGGAUGUACAUUUACACAAAUGCACAUGCACAUUUAUAAAUGUACAUAUGCAGUACAUAGAUUGUGUAUAUAGAUUGUACAUGUUAUAACUAUUUUGCUUUGAAGAAUUGUACAGUAUCUUUGAAGUAAAGUAUUCAUAAUUGCAUACUUGUAUCCUCUAGCAUGAAUGUAAAAGAGUAUAACACACAUGAAACUUACUGAAAAAAAUUAUAUUAGGAACAGACUGGAUACAUAUUGAAACUGAAUCACUUGCUGUAUUGUUACCUUUGUAUCCUUAGAUCAUGAAUACGGUCAAGUUUUUGACAUGCCUUUGAGCACUACGUGAACAUAGACUCUUGCAAGUUGUUAAUGAUAAUGAGGUUGGCCCAAGUCAAAUGCUGCAUAUGCUCAACUUACAGAUUCUACAAGUUGCCGCCUCCCCCAGCAAAGGAAAAAGUUGAGAUUCUAAUCACUCAUGAACUUUGAAUCAUUAUUGAUAUUGUGAGACUUAGAAGCUUGGGAAGAAAUAUUUUGUAUUUGUUAUUUACAUCACAUUUUUUCAUGCUGUCUUAAAACAAGCAAAUUUU